CGGAUAUUGCUCCAAGAGUCUUUUUUGUAGGUACUGAUGCCUUACAUAUGUGUGCCAAUUUUCGUGCAUGUACGUGAAACACAGCUCGAGGGCUGUUGAUUUUUUUACGGUAGGUGGCGCUGUCGAGCCAUUUUGCCACACCCUCUUCUGAAACCUAUAUCAGACGUAAAUUUUCACCAGGUCUGACGCGUGUGCAAAGUUUCAGGACUUUUCGAGCAUGUUUAGGCCCUCAAAAAUGCGAUUCAUUUUGGAGAAGAAGAAGAAGAAGAAGAAUAAUAAUAAUUAAAGCUGCAAGCAGCGAUGAACGGGCCCUCGCACCCGGGCUCUCCACCACCGGGUGGCUUUUGUAAAACAGCG
Cyprinus carpio carpio is the source of this 357-nucleotide long non-coding RNA. The record is from Ensembl. NCBI's taxonomy places the organism in Eukaryota, Metazoa, Chordata, Actinopteri, Cypriniformes, Cyprinidae.